This 3597-nucleotide ribosomal RNA is filed under the name Triticum aestivum (bread wheat). Its description in RNAcentral is "partial small subunit ribosomal RNA". The record is from RNAcentral. Lineage: Eukaryota; Viridiplantae; Streptophyta; Magnoliopsida; Poales; Poaceae.
AUGGCUUCCAUUCACUGGGCGCUGCUACUCUUUCUUGUACAACUCCCCAUACUGGCCACCUCCAGCGCCCACAGUGAUGGUAACCUCACACUGUGGUGCCAUCCAGACCAGGCUGCAGCGCUUCUCCAACUAAAGCAAUCCUUCUUUGCUGCAGAAACAACCGCUACUAUCCUCCCGUCAUGGCAAAAUGGCACCAAUUGCUGUCUCUGGGAGGGCAUUAUCUGUGAUGCUUCUUUUGGUCUUGUGACUGUACUAGACCUCAGUGGGUAUGGCCUAAACAGUUAUGGCUUGGACCCUGCGCUCUUCAGCCUCAAAUCCCUCCGACGUCUCGAUCUUAGCAUGAAUUCUUUAGGAGAUUACAGCUACAACAUCACCACUGCUGAGUUUGAGAGGCUUGCUCUGCUAACUCAUCUCAAUUUCUCCAACUCGGGCUUGGAUGGCCAGAUACCUAUUGGCAUCAGCAAACUCGUUAACCUUGUCUCCUUGGAUCUUUCAAGUCACAGAGUUUCCGAUUAUGAUGAUCCUACCUCUGCAGGUGACAGUUUUAAUCAUCUUCGGGAGCCCAAUUUUGAGAUCCUGGUAGCGAACCUCAACAAUCUAAGAGAGCUCUACCUUGAUGGAGUGCAGAUAAUGUCUAGCAGCGGUGAAGAUUGGGGCAAAGCUCUUGCAAAAUAUGUUCCUCAUCUUCAGGUACUUAGCUUGGAGGGAUGCAGGCUGAAUGGUCCUAUUCAUCAUUCCCUCUCGAGCAUCCAUUCUCUUGUUGCGAUCAACCUUGGAUCCAAUGAUGCUGGUCCGAUUCCAGAGUUCUUCGCAGAUUUUCCCAAUCUAAGUGAGCUUCAACUUUCGGAUAUGAAUCUUCAGGGGUGGUUCCCUCAAAGAUUUUUUCAACUCAAAAAUUUAAGGGUCCUAGAUUUGUCCUCAAACCCGAAUCUCUCGGGGCAUUUGCCAAACUUUCCUCAUGCAAGUUCUCUAUAUACUUUGAGGCUAGAGGGGACCAACUUCUCCUCUGCUAAACCAAGUUCUUCUGGCAAUUUCAAGCUGUUGAGGGAGUUAACUCUUGACGGGAAAUUUCUAUCGAUGGAUUUUCUCUCUUCAUUUGGUGUACUUGGGUCUUUACGCCAGUUGAAGGUUUCUCUGAUGGACUCACAUAAAGAGUUGGGAUCAAUUUUGUCAUGGAUUGGAGACCUCAGGAACUUAACGAGCUUGGAACUCUAUGUGUGCGACUUCUCUUGGACUAUGCCUUCCUCUAUUGGUAACCUGAAGGCCUUGAGAAGCUUGACAAUGUUUGAUUGCAACCUCCCUAGGCCCAUAUUGUCUGAAAUUGGAAAUCUCAUUGGCUUGCAAAAGUUGAAACUAUCUGACUGCAAAUUACAUGGUUCAAUGGCAUCUUCAGUGCACAACCUCACAAAUUUAAGAAGCUUGUAUAUUGGGAGUUGUGAUGCUUGCGGAACAAUGCCAGCUGCAAUUGGCUAUCUUAGAAACUUGAGAAGGUUGGAGAUCUCCGGUUCUGACUUUUCUGGGUCCAUACCAUCUACUAUUGGCAAUCUGACUAACUUGAAAAGCAUGUCAGCUUUCUGGGCCAAUACCUUAUGCAAUUGGGCAACUCAAGGAAGCCUAGCUAUUUUUGGCGGGAACAUUUCUGGGAGGAUACCAGGUUCACUUGUCAAUAUAACUCAACUGACAGAACUGGAUAUCUCCUAUACUCAUGUGAGCGGUCAUAUUCCGGCACCUCUUUUCGCUCUUCCAAAAUUAAGGUACUUGAAUCUUGGUUGGAACCAACUUUCUGGUCCUAUAGAAGAGUUCGACGCGCCAUCUUCAUGCUUACAGCUCGUGAGUUUGAGCAGAAAUUCAUUGGCAGGCAAGUUUCCCAAGUCAUUCUUCCAACUUGCAGAGUUGGUUCAUCUAGAAAUCAACUUGAACAACUUUGAAGAUUCAGUGGAUCUUUCAUCAUUUGGGAGGUUAAGAAAGCUCACUGGUUUGGAUCUUUCACACAAUAAGUUGUCUGUUAUGAUUGACGAAGGCAAUAACUCUCUGUCUACCUCUCUUUUUGGACUGGAUGAACUGGGACUAGCAUGUUGCAAUAUAACCAAAAUUCCUAGUUUUUUGACACAUCUUGACAGAAUGGUUUAUCUAGACCUUUCUUGCAACAAAAUCACUGGAGACAUACCAAAGUUGAUAUGGGAGAGAUGGAACAAUAGCCUUUUGCAACUAAAUCUUUCACACAACAUGUUCACCGGUAUGCAACUUACUUCAUAUGCUCUUCCAUUCAGUAGGUCCCUGGAAGUGUUUGAUCUUAGUUCCAAUAGGCUGCAGGGACAGAUCCCUAUGCCAGACUUAUCAUCAGAAUAUUUGGAUUAUUCACACAACUUUUUCUCUUCUGUUCUCCCAAACUUCACGUUGUAUCUCAGCAACACCAACUAUCUCAGUAUGUCCAACAAUAGUAUAAAUGGAUAUAUACCAGAAACAGUUUGCAAUUCCAGCUUGGAUGUCCUUGACCUAUCACAUAACAACUUUAGCGGGCCGAUUCCGUCCUGUUUGAUAGAAAAUGCUCGACGGAGCGUAUUAAAUUUGAGAGAGAAUCACUUUGAAGGGACGUUGCCAUCCAAUAUUACAAGUGAAUGCACUUUCCAGACAAUAGAUUUACAUGACAAUAAGAUUGAAGGACAAAUUCCGAGGGGACUUUCUAACUGCAGUUAUUUGGAGGUUCUUGACAUCGGAAACAACCGAAUAGUUGAUACUUUCCCAUCUUGGCUAGGGGAGCUUUCCAAUCUGUAUGUUCUUAUCUUAAGAUCCAACCGAUUUUAUGGCUCCAUAGAUGGUGAUAUUGGGAAUCACAAAUCAAGAGGGUACUUCUCUAGCUUGCAAAUUCUUGAUCUCGCCUUGAACAACUUCUCCGGCAAAAUGAAUUCAGAAUGGUUUGGUCAGUUGAAAGCAAUGAUGGCCAACUUCAAUGGUUCUGGAGAUAUUGUCCGUGCUACAAACUUAAAUGGUAUGGCGGAAUACUACCAAGAUUCUACUGAGAUCACAUACAAGGGGUCCUACGUGACAUUUGUAAGGAUCCUGACCACUUUAAAAGCAAUUGACCUUUCAAAUAAUAGAUUGGAAGGUACCAUUCCUGAGUCAGUUGGACGGCUUGUUUCACUGCGUGUACUGAACAUGUCACACAAUGGAUUCACGGGAGAAAUUCCAACCCAGCUUGGCGGUGUGACUGAUCUAGAGUCACUAGACCUGUCUUGCAACCAACUUUCUGGGGAGAUUUCACAGGAACUCACAAAUCUGACCUCUCUAACCACCCUGAACUUAUCUGACAACCAGUUGGUGGGGAAGAUACCGCAGUCACGCCAGUUCCCCACAUUUGACAGCAAUUCAUUCGAAGGGAAUUUGGGACUGUGUGGACCGCCAUUCUCCAACCCCUGUGGCGUUUCACUUGCUCCUCCAGGCAUGGCACGCAUGGAGAAGUCUUCUAAUGUGGAUAUCAUCCUGUUUCUCUUUGUCGGGCUGGGCUUCGGUGUUGGAUUUGCAGCUGCCAUUCUGAUGAGAUGGGGUCGAAUCGGAAAAUGGUUUGUUAAAUCUGCAAGAGCUUUGUGGAGGACUUGA